UUAAUUGAAGAGUUUGAUCAUGGCUCAGAUUGAACGCUGGCGGCAGGCCUAACACAUGCAAGUCGAGCGGAAACGGCAGUAUUGAAGCUUCGGUGGAUUUACUGGACGUCGAGCGGCGGACGGGUGAGUAACGGCUGGGAACCUGCCCUGACGAGGGGGAUAACCGUUGGAAACGACGGC
RNAcentral lists this ribosomal RNA (180 nucleotides) under Salinivibrio sp. AR647. RNAcentral's name for it is "partial 16S ribosomal RNA". It matches the Rfam family "Bacterial small subunit ribosomal RNA", at positions 1 to 163 of the family's 1533-position model. The record is from RNAcentral. RNAcentral also lists the same sequence under 1 other name. Lineage: Bacteria; Pseudomonadati; Pseudomonadota; Gammaproteobacteria; Vibrionales; Vibrionaceae.